Molecule: ribosomal RNA, 319 nt
Filed under: Streptococcus parasanguinis
Lineage: Bacteria; Bacillati; Bacillota; Bacilli; Lactobacillales; Streptococcaceae
Description: bacterial SSU rRNA
Rfam family: Bacterial small subunit ribosomal RNA
Source: RNAcentral
UGGCUCAGGACCGAACGCUGGCGGCGUGCCUAAUACAUGCAAGUAGAACGCUGAAGCUUGGUGCUUGCACCGAGCGGAGGAGUUGCGAACGGGUGAGUAACGCGUAGGUAACCUGCCUCUUAGCGGGGGAUAACUAUUGGAAACGAUAGCUAAUACCGCAUAAAAGUCGAUAUCGCAUGAUAUUGAUUUGAAAGGUGCAACUGCAUCACUAAGAGAUGGACCUGCGUUGUAUUAGCUAGUUGGUGAGGUAACGGCUCACCAAGGCGACGAUACAUAGCCGACCUGAGAGGGGAUCGGCCACACUGGACUAGACACGCCC